Molecule: ribosomal RNA, 119 nt
Filed under: Prolemur simus (greater bamboo lemur)
Lineage: Eukaryota; Metazoa; Chordata; Mammalia; Primates; Lemuridae
Source: RNAcentral
AUCUAUGGCUGUAUUAUUCUGAAUGUGCCUGACUGCACCUGACCUUGGAAGGUAAGCAGGAUUGGGCCUGGUUAGUACUUGGAUGGGAGACUGCAUGGGAAUACUGGAUGCUAUGGGCU